ACCUGCAGCAGGUUCGAGCCGAACGCAGUGAGGCACCGGAGCCGUUUACGGCGACGGCCCGAAGGGCGAGCGAAGCGAGUCAUCCUGCACGACCCACCA
RNAcentral lists this small RNA (99 nucleotides) under Enterobacter sp. RNAcentral's name for it is "partial RtT sRNA". It matches the Rfam family "RtT RNA", at positions 28 to 130 of the family's 130-position model. From Rfam's summary of the family: This family represents a bacterial cis-regulatory element known as RtT RNA. The exact function of RtT is unknown although it is thought that it may be involved in changing the cellular response in relation to amino acid starvation. The record is from RNAcentral. Lineage: Bacteria; Pseudomonadati; Pseudomonadota; Gammaproteobacteria; Enterobacterales; Enterobacteriaceae.